Long non-coding RNA from Marmota monax (woodchuck), 2109 nucleotides. RefSeq lists it as uncharacterized. NCBI's taxonomy places the organism in Eukaryota, Metazoa, Chordata, Mammalia, Rodentia, Sciuridae. The transcript has 2 exons. The record is from RefSeq and is a predicted model, not a curated record.
GAGGUCUCUGAGCCUAUACAGCACGUGAGCUACGUGGCCAAGUCCUCUGACCCCAAAUUUUCACUCAAUGAAAAAAUACUGAGUGCCAGGUGCCAAGCCUCUUCAGUUUAAAUGACACUGGGCAAUUUAGCAAGCUACCAUUCCACCUAACACCAAUGGAUCAGGAGUUUUAUGUGUGGAAAGCGCUUUGGGCAGUGCUUGGACAUCUGAGUCACGGCUCGUGACUCCACAAAUUCUCCAACGCUCACAAUGGGAAAUUCCCAGUUUAGAAAACUAUAACCAUUCACAGCUUUAUUAAAGCGGUUGGUUCUGAGAGCAAAUGUAUGCUUUUCCCAUAGUAAAUUUACCUUUGCUGUUGAAGCCACACGUACGAUUCUUGAUGUUACUAAAUGGAACUAUGAAACCAACUAUACUGGAUUUACAAUUGAUUUACUAGGAAAUGCCUCCUAAUAUCCCAUUUGGGGUUUGGCAACAGUACCCUGGGGCAACCGCAGCAGUAGAUCUGAUUCCUUCUUCCCUUCCCCUAGCUCCAGGCCACCUGCAGAGCUUCAAUAGUCCAAUGGGAGUGAGAAAUGAGGCCUGGGAAAGUCUGUGGGAAGUCAGCAGGAGCUGAGAGGAGGGCAGCUGGGCCUGGAAAUGAGCCUGGAGGGGGCACUUGCCUUGCUGCUUACCUGUCUUCCCUACCUGGGAAAUGGUCAGCAGAGAAGUAGGAGAUAAUGGACAGCCAGUGGGGGUUCCAGGAGGGGGGAAUAAAGACCAGAGUGAUAUUAGGAAGGUAAGCCAGGAAGAGGAGGAAAAGGAGAAUGAGGAGAAGGGAAGGAUUAUGUGUAGCUGGUGGUCACCCACAAAGGGCAUCUGAGGUCAGGUGGCACACCUCCCUCACCAUGCUGCGCCAACAGAGUGAUCCCUGGAUGCCAAUUCCCUUCAAAUUCCUCCCAGCUGGCCAAUGUGGUGCCCACCUAGCUGAGGUGCAGCCUGCAGGUUGAACCUUGCCAUUUAUCAUGGGCUGGAAUGCAGAAGUGGUUGCCUUGACAAUGACCUUGGCAAUGUACCCUUGACUGCCUCAGCCUGGACCCUGAUGGGGGAAAAAAGUCAACUAUCUGUUAUGGUUACUAGCCUGUGACAGACUCCAAACCGUCACACAAAUGAGAAUUCCACAGUGGUAAGAAACAAACAAGACAGUUUUAUUAUUAUUAUUAACCUCUACAGAGCCUUUCUUCCCUCUCCUUCCUCCAGCCAGCUGUCUGGUGGGGCCAGGGAAAGGAUGAAUAAUGAUAGACAAAAGUCAGGCUCCUGUCCUCUCCCAGCCCUGCAGAUGACAGCACGGAAUAAUCCAGAACCAUCAUUCUGGUACAAAUGUUUUCCUGAGGAUUAAAAUUCCAAAAUUGAAAUUUGUUUUCCCAGAAAAGAACCCUGGGAGAGAAGGCGGAAGGAAGUGGCGACUGCAUCCUUGUGCCCUUGGGCUGUGGGAAAGAAAAGGGCUGAUCCCUGAAGGCGUAGCCUUUCCACCUUGCAAGAGCAAAACCCAGGACAUCUUGGAACUACCCUGUCCCCGUCCCAGUCUUCAAAGUCUCCAACCCAGGGGUGCAGAUGCUCUGGAUGUGCUGAGGCUGGAACACACGUGACAUGCUCCAGGGACAGAAAGAUGAGGGUGAGGGUGCGCUAAAGCACAGCAGGAGGAAGAGGGCACACUGGCGGGGAGUGGAAGAGAAGGCGGGACUACUGCUCUCCCCUCUUCACCAUGGGUCUUGAUCUUGUGAAUAUCCAAGGUGAUACGUCUUCUUAUUCCACAGUGGAGAACAGGCUCGGUGAGGUGAAGCUAUUAGCCCAAUGCUGCACAGUUAGUCACAGUUGCUGAGAACCGGUCCUCGAAUACCAAGGAAGUUCUCCUGAGAACACGGUGAUGUAGAUGUUGCUUCCUCUGAAUCUGUUCUGAAAGUGCAUUCAGUUUUGUUUUUUUGAUCUCCUGUCAGCUAAAUGCUGGUCUGUAAGUUAUUGUUUUAAACUACAGCUGACUGAGCUGUGUUGAGAUCUUUGUCAAGAAACCUUUGAGUUGGCACUGCGACCUCUGUAGCUGGUCCUUAUGAUUAAAAAGCCAUUUCGAUCUUU